AAAAAUUCUCAAGAACCAAACACAUGAGCUUCAACCAAGAAUUCAAGAUCUCUAAAAAAUCAACCGCAGGAAUUCAAAAAUAAUUUAGGAAUCAUAGUUUCCAAGUUUAGAUCUUCAAGAAGUACCUAUUAUAUUUACGAGUAGAGUUCCGAAAUUGCAAGUUCAUCCAAAGUCACAAAUUCGAGGUAUGUGGGGUUUGAACAAGAAUAAUCCUUCCGGUCUUGUGCCCAAAACUUGAUUUUUAUAAAGAUUGCAUAAAUUUUUAUGUUGAAGUUUAUACCAAUUUAUCUCAUUUUGAGUUUAUUUAAUUAUUCAUGAAUUGAGUAUUUGAAGGUAUUAUAUUUUAUCUUGAUAUGAUUUGAGUUGAGAUAUACAUAUUUUGCUUUAUAUUUUCCUAUUAAGAAUUGAUGUUGAUGAAUUUAUUUGAAAUGAGUAUUGAGAAUGAAUUUACGAAAUUUUUGAUAUGUGUUUUGAGUUGUUGAAUUUAUGAUAUUUAUGUCAUGAAUUUAUUCUCAAUAUUUUAAUUGAGAUAAGUGAAGAUUUUCGAGAUGAUUGUUGGGUAUUAAAUUUACAUAUGAUUUUGAUGUAUUAAAUCUUUAUAUUUUGGGUUUUAAAUAUAUGUGAUGAAAUUGUAAGGAGAUUUUGAUCUCGUGUCGUGGACAUGAUUUUAUAAGUAUUUCCCAAAAGCAAAGAUUGUUGUUUUGACAUUGAACAAGUAUGGAAUUUGAGAUGAUAUUUUGGAAGAUGGAAUCGUUAUAUUUAUGUCAAGGUUGAAAUUGGAUUUUUAUGAUAUUACUAUUUGGAGUUUUCCUUUAUCAAAUUAUUUACCGAGAUUUGAAUUGAAAUUUAUAUCAUGAUUUUUGAGUUGAAAAUAGGAAUCCAGAAUUUAUUAUGAUUCAAUUAUGAGAAAUAUGAUUUGGCCUUCAUUAUAGACCCUUGAAAUUAUUUUGAGGUGGAUUUCCUAAAUGAUACAGAGCUUGAGUACGGGAAUAGUAUUUAGUACCGAGCGGGAGGUGUGGGUGAGCGUACCCUACUUCCCCAGAACUACGUGCCACCAUAAAAUUGACAUUUAUGGGCCUAUGGCCGAGCUUGUGAUCACUGAGUUAAGGUUAUACUCCCUGACAAGAGCAUGGCGCUCCUUCCCAACGUGGGGUUUCUUCCUUAGGAGGACAAAAUGUUGGACUCCAUGAUAAGCUCACAUAGUUUUUGUCGGUUAUAAGAAACUCUCAUGGUGUGUGUUUGUGUCUCCUCUAUCUAAGAUAAGUGUGUAUGGUUUGAAAACUAUGAUUUGUGAGAAAGUUCCUUGUUUCCGAAAGAUUGAAAUGUUAUGUUCUAAAGAGAGUUGUUUUAAGACUUGAUUACUUUACAAGUUGAAUUCGAGCAGAAAGUGAAUUUGAAACUUAUUGUAAUGACUCACGUGAUUUAUUUUACAUGUAUUAUUCAUCCAUGAUUUUGAUGAUUUAUUCAAGCCAAGUGAGUUAUUAUAUCAGCAUGCACAAUUUUAUAAACUAUGAUGAUAUGAAGAUAUUAUUUUAUAUAUGCAUUGCACCCCCAUAUGCUUAGUACAUUUCCAUGGUACUGAUCCACAUAUUCGUAUGUGGGCUACAUUUUCUCGAAAUAUAGGUACAAGGCAUAGUAUGCACCUUUAGAUCCAGUCAGUUUAUGGUAUCCAGUCAGCAGGUGAUGAGUCUUUCUGAUUCAAGGGCUUGGGUCAGUUAUGCAGAUCUAAUAGUGUUGUAUUUUCUUUAUUCGGUCGUAUUGGGUUUAGAUAGUCAAGAUUCAUGACUCGGCUAACUACAGUCAAUACGAGCAGAGGCUUCAUAGACAGUCAGUAGAAGUUGAUGUAUUCCAUUUCAGUUUUGGUUGUAAAGACAGAAUUAUAAUCUUGUAAAUUCAGUUUUGUAUCGAUCAGAUUCAAAAAAGAGUUAUUUUUCAUAGAUUUUUAUAGAUUUAUACUUUUUAUUCAAUUGCUUAUGAGUUAUGCCAAUAGAAGGGUUAGCUUGGUGUCACUUGGGACCCUAAGCAC
Molecule: long non-coding RNA, 2026 nt
Filed under: Capsicum annuum
Lineage: Eukaryota; Viridiplantae; Streptophyta; Magnoliopsida; Solanales; Solanaceae
Description: long non-coding RNA (CANN_LNC009830)
Source: RNAcentral